UAUUAAGGAUGAACUAUCCCGAACCUGAUUCCUGUAAGAUUGACAACCCUGUCGGAUCUGACUUCUGAAAU
Molecule: small nucleolar RNA, 71 nt
Filed under: Salmo salar (Atlantic salmon)
Lineage: Eukaryota; Metazoa; Chordata; Actinopteri; Salmoniformes; Salmonidae
Description: Small nucleolar RNA SNORD50 (ENSSSAG00000088204.1)
Rfam family: Small nucleolar RNA SNORD50
About the family: U50 belongs to the C/D class of snoRNA which contain the C (UGAUGA) and D (CUGA) box motifs. Most of the members of the box C/D family function in directing site-specific 2'-O-methylation of substrate RNAs.
Source: RNAcentral